RNAcentral lists this ribosomal RNA (493 nucleotides) under uncultured bacterium. RNAcentral describes it as "bacterial SSU rRNA". It matches the Rfam family "Bacterial small subunit ribosomal RNA", at positions 15 to 507 of the family's 1533-position model. The record is from RNAcentral.
GAUCAUGGCUCAGAUUGAACGCUGGCGGCAUGCCUUACACAUGCAAGUCGAACGGUAGAGUAGCAAUACUUGAGAGUGGCGAACGGGUGAGUAAUAUAUCGGAACGUGCCCAGUCGUGGGGGAUAACGUAGAGAAAUUUACGCUAAUACCGCAUACGAUCUAAGGAUGAAAGCGGGGGAUUCGCAAGAACCUCGCGCGAUUGGAGCGGCUGAUAUCAGAUCAGGUUGUUGGUGAGGUAAAAGCUCACCAAGCCGACGAUCUGUAGCUGGUUUGAGAGGACGACCAGCCACACCGGGACUGAGACACGGCCCAGACUCCUACGGGAGGCAGCAGUGGGGAAUUUUGGACAAUGGGCGAAAGCCUGAUCCAGCCAUGCCGCGUGUGUGAAGAAGGUCUUCGGAUUGUAAAGCACUUUAAGUUGGGAGGAAGGGUAGUAACCUAAUACGUUGCUACUUUGACGUUACCGACAGAAUAAGCACCGGCUAACUUCGUG